RNAcentral lists this transfer RNA (71 nucleotides) under Holzapfeliella floricola DSM 23037 = JCM 16512. RNAcentral's name for it is "Lactobacillus floricola DSM 23037 = JCM 16512 tRNA". It matches the Rfam family "tRNA". From Rfam's summary of the family: Transfer RNA (tRNA) molecules are approximately 80 nucleotides in length. Lineage: Bacteria; Bacillati; Bacillota; Bacilli; Lactobacillales; Lactobacillaceae. The record is from Rfam by way of RNAcentral.
AGGGAUAUAGUUUAACGGUAGAACUACGGUCUCCAAAACCGUCGAUGUGGGUUCGAUUCCUACUAUCCCUG